GGAAAUAUAUUUUAAAUAUAGAAAAUAUAAUUUGCAUUUAUAUAGUAGAAGGUUCUUCUUAUUUCUC
Molecule: transfer RNA, 67 nt
Filed under: Rabdotus mooreanus
Lineage: Eukaryota; Metazoa; Mollusca; Gastropoda; Stylommatophora; Orthalicidae
Description: tRNA-Ala
Source: RNAcentral